GCCGUAGCAUGCUAAAAACCUCGGCCCUCGUCCGAUCAUUAAAGUUAAGCAUCAAUGGGCACAAUUAGUACUUGGGUGGGUGACCACUUGGU
Molecule: non-coding RNA, 92 nt
Organism: Trichonephila clavata
Lineage: Eukaryota; Metazoa; Arthropoda; Arachnida; Araneae; Nephilidae
Source: the annotation of a GenBank genome assembly